This 3091-nucleotide long non-coding RNA is filed under the name Mus musculus (house mouse). Its description in RNAcentral is "serine/threonine kinase 35, opposite strand 1 (Stk35os1)". The record is from RNAcentral. Lineage: Eukaryota; Metazoa; Chordata; Mammalia; Rodentia; Muridae.
GCCUCAUCCCUCCGUCUAGCCCCGAGAUGUGGAGGAGCGGGACCUUGGAUGGUGAUCUAAGGGCGAGAGGGAGAAGUUAAAACCCACCGGGCCGAGAAGGGUAGAUGAGGAACUUAAAGCGUCCGGCGUCCCACCUCCGCCGCCGGUCGCGGCCCCUUUAAGAAGGAGCCACCGUCUCGAAUUGAACGGGGGAAGGGAAAGGAAAGCGGGAAAGACGGAACCACCGGGAAGUACCGAGGGAGGACCGGAAACCGAAGCGCAAACCGUCCCCUCUCGCCGACUUAUCCGUCAGGAGCAGAAAAAAUAAAUAAAGCCGUAGGGAUCGUCCCCAUCGAAGACGGCCGGCUUAAACUUUCCUGGGGCUUAGCCCCCUCUCAACGGCCCCUCCCCACGUCCUACCCGGGCUUCUCCCGGUGUAAACAGUCCCGUGAAUCAAACCCAGGAGAGCCCGGCGGGACGACCCAGACCCCCGGGGACAGCGGGCGAAGGGAAACCGGCUAAAAGAUCGGCUUCCGAGGACGACAGGCGGAGGCCCCGGUGACGCCCCCGGGACUACGGUGGGGCGCCGGGGCUCCCGCUUCGGCCCUCCCUUCCUCCCUCCACUCCCUCUUACCUGGCCGGCGCUGUUCCUCUUCCGGGCGAACCGGUUCCCCCUUGGAGCCCGCGCCGGAGGAUGGUCCGUUCCGAGCCGGGCUUGUCUGCAGAGCCGGGUAGGGCGCGAGGCGGGGAGCCUGGCUGAGCGUGUAGCGCGUCGCGGCGCUGCUCUUGUGAUGACAGCAACGCUCCCGGGGGAGGCCUCGGCUUCCAGGUUCCCGUGGCCGUCCCCGAGUUCACGCCAGCUGAGCACUUUACGUAACCUCUUUAUGUAAGCUGCACCUCCCGCCGCCGCUCUGGUCAGCGGAGAUUCCUGGUGGCCCAUCCCCCAGGAGGCCAGCGGAGAGCCGCGCCGCCUCUCUGCAGCCGAGGUAGACCCAGCCGCCGCGACAGCCCGGAACCAAUCACUGGCGAGAACACCCAGCCAACAAAAAGAGCGCGCCAAAAUCCCGCGAUUUGUACCGAGGGCCUUCGCGAGGCGCCUGCACUCCGCAAACGCCUUUCCGGACUUGACCUGCAUCGUACCUCUACGCCCGCACUCGGCACUUGAUGCUGAUUGGGGGAAUGGCUUAGGUGUAAUCGAUUCACAGCUGAGACCAGGGUUAGAACGCUAAUCUCCACGCCCACUAAUGACCCCAAUGAUCUCAGCCGCACUUAAUCCUCAGUAUCCUUCUCUGCCAAACCCGGGUGGUCCGCACUUCCAAGGUUGCAAAGGACCAAGUGAAAUAUGAUGGCUGGCUAAUUGAGUGCCUGAUAUAAGCUGCUUUGGGCUUGGAUUUUGAUACCCUUCACCCCGGCCGCCCAUUGUGGUGGGAGGGAGCACAAUGGCUGUGUAGUUAAGAAUGAUCUUGAACUUUUCCUCUUGUCUUCAUCUCCCGAGUAAUGGGAUUAAAGGCGGGCACCACCACACCCAAUUUAUACACCCUAUUUGUUUGUACAGAGCUAGGAAUCCAAGGGUUUUGUGCAUGCUAGACAGGCACUUUACAAAGCUACAUCUCCAGCCCCUAGGCGUGGUUUUUUAAAGUAUUUUGUACCCUGCUUUGUACUCCAAUGCCUAGAAGGUGCCCAGUAUUUUGUUAGCUGAUAUUGAAGGACAGUAACUAGAGUUUCUGCUACACACUAUUUUAAGUCUGGGGAAAAAGGAGUAGACACGACAGUCUUUGCCUUAAUUGCGACUCUUGACACUGGAGGAGACAGUCAACCUUGUGUCUUCGUAGAUGUCUCACAGUUAAAGUACUUAGAACAGUGUUAAAAUACACACAAGACAGAUUAAAUGUAAUGUAAAACAAUAAACAAGAGUUUCUAGAAUUUCUAUAGCUUUUCUGUAUGUAAGUGGUCACAUAUACACACAAGGUGUAAGAAUAGUAAAGUCUCAUCUUUUUUUUUGCCAGAAUUACAUUGUUUUGCUAUAUUUUCAUGUUCUGUGCACAAAUAUGUAUGUAUGAAUGUAUACAUGUUGUAAAUCCUUUUAUAUUUAUAAGAUAUAUAUGUAUACAUAUAUAUAUAUAUACACACACACACACAUAUAUAUAUACACACACACAAAUAUAUGUGUGUGUGUGUGUUUUUUUCCCAAGGACAAAGAUACUCUCUAGCACACUCUCAAUACAGUGCAGAACCAUGAACAAUGCCAUGCUUUUGUUUACUAUGCCAUCUCAAGGUUUACCGAUUGUCCUUUCCUUUCUCUUCUAGUCCAAUAUACGAGUCCUCAGCACCUAGCCUUAUUGGAUAAGGAUUCCAACAGCCUCGUUGUUAACCGAAACUCCUUUACUUCUUUUCCUUGUUGUUGCUGGGUUGUUGGGUUUUUUUUUUUUUUUAAUUGGUGGUGAUUUGGGUUUUUUGUUUUUUGUUUUUGUUUUGUUGGUUGGUUGGGUUUGUUUGUUUGUUUGUUUGGAGACAGGGUUUCUCUACUUAGCUUUGGCUGGUCUUAAACUCAGGGAUCUGCCUGUCUCUGCCACCCAAGUGCUGGGAUCAAAAGGUGUGCACCACCAUACCCAACCUCACAAUUUAAACAACUUAAAUUUCUUUAAAGGGUUCAUCUUCAAAUAUUGUUACUAACCUAUUGGGGGUUAUAGGUUCAACACAUGAUUCUGAGGUAGGACCACAAUUCAGUUGGCAGCAAUCUCUUUAGAAAAUGACACUCAUCUGAGUAAUGAAUAGCAAGAAGCCAGUCAUGCCACAACUAGUGGUGGGGCAUUGCAGGGAGAAGAGACAGCAAGUACAAGAGUGGCCAGGGAGAUAACCUUGGUCAAUUAAAGAGACUAUUAGAAUGUAAAACAGCCUGGGUAAUGGCUCAGUGUGAACCUGAUGACUUGAUUUCAAUCCCCACCCCACCCCCCAAGCUGACAAAAAGGUGAAAAGAGAAUCAACUCCACAAAGUUGUCCUCUACCCUGGUACCCACAAUCCUACAGAGAUGGUGAUGAACCCCAGAGGCUCAGAGGUAUGAGUCCCCUGCAGCUGUUGAAUUAGCUAAUAAAAUACUUUCACAUUUGAUUC